RNAcentral lists this long non-coding RNA (6646 nucleotides) under Homo sapiens (human). Its description in RNAcentral is "non-protein coding lnc-PFKFB3-4:1". The record is from RNAcentral. Lineage: Eukaryota; Metazoa; Chordata; Mammalia; Primates; Hominidae.
GGGCCCUAGGGGGAGGAACUGAAUUCUUUAUGAAAGAGGGAAGACUUGAGCUGACCUUGAGAUGCAUUUUAAAUCUUUCAUUUUUUAAGAAAAUAUAAUCGCAUGGCAGAAAACUUUCAAAGUUCAGGGAAAAAAUCACUUCAUUGCAGCAGUCAUUCUCUACAUUCUUGGCAGGUUUAUUCAUAAUAGCAUGAAAGGAAAACAGCCCAAAGGUCCAUGCGCAGCAAAAGGAAUAAACAGAUUAACAGUACAGUCACACGAUGGAAUACUAACUCCAUAGCGCUAAAAAGGAAUGAGUGGAUACAUACAGCAGCAGGGAUUAAUCUCAAAUACAUUAGGCUGAGUAAAAAAAGCCAGACCCAAAAAGUGCAUUUAUAGGAAGUUCAAGAACAGGCAAAACUAAUCUAUGGGGAUAGGAAGCAAAAUCAUAGGUGCUGCUGAUGUAGGAGACCCCCUGAUAGACAGGGGCGCAGGGAACUUCCUAGAAUUGACGCUGCAUUCCAACUGGGGCAUUGGGCAGGUAGUGUAUACUGUUGUCAACACUCAUACUGUGUGCACUUACGAGCUGAGCAUUUUACAGUAUGUAGUGUGUAAUUAUAUCACCCCAAAUAAUUGAAUCUAUUUUCCUAAAACCUAUUACUCAGUGAUACUAGUGUUUCACUUGGAAUCUAUGCAUUUUUUUCCUACAAUUGAAUGUUGAUUAUUCCAACCUGUACUGCAGACUUGGGGGAGCCAAAGACAAGCCUCUGCUUGAUCUUGCUUUCAAGGUCUCUGAAUUGAGAUCAGACCUUCACGAUUCAUUCUGUGUGUUCACACAAGGGUAGGGAAAGAGCUCUGGAUGGAAAGAGAUAUUCAAGUUCAUGUUACUCUGCAGAGCUCCUGAAUCAAUGACUUGAGACUAGGCAAGAGAAAAAGAGUCAAUAAUCUAAUAGGUUUACUUUUCUUCAAUAAAUGGAGGCCACUCUUGAUAAUAAUGACCUCAACUCUAUCCUUGUUAUCCAGGAAUAAAGUGCAUCAGCUAUACUCUUGAGUAAAUGAAACCAGUCUAUUGAAAAUAAUGAAUAGAGGCUAGCAUUUAUUUACUUAUUACUGAGCCAAGCAAUUCACAUGCAUUAAUCAUUUAAUCCUCACAAUACUCUAUGAGGCAGACAAUAUGAAGACUGUUUUUCCGAGCACAGAAAGGUUAAGUAACUUGCCUAAAGUUGCACAGCUAGUGAGAGGAGAAGCCAGAAUCAAUGCAUUACUUGGAAUGAGGACCAGGAAAUGACAAUGGAAUAUAGAGGGAAGCGGACAAAUGGAAAAUAAAUAAUUAAAACCUCUAUUGGACAGGCAAUUCAAAGAGACAUUGGGUAUUAUCAAGCAAAUACUCAUUUGCAGACAAUGAAACUGAGGCCCAUGAAGGUUACGUGACUUCCCAAGUCAUUCAUCUAAUUAGGAGAGAGCUGGGACAAGAAGCCAUAUUUUAAAAAUCCCAGCUCAGGGCCUUUCUACUACAUCAAAAAAAAAAAAAAAAAAAAAUUAAUUGAUUUUUUUUUCACAUAAUGUCCAAUUUUGAAAUCUAUCCCUGAGGGGAUUGUUGGUUAGAUAUUCAUAGUAUUAUAAAAUUCAAGUCUUGGAAACGGCCUGGAAAGAUCUUAUGGCCGUUGGCUCCAAAUUCAAGCAGCAUCACACUUAAACCAUCCCAUCCAGAUGAGAAUCUUUCCCAGUUUUUAAAGUCUUCCAGAUGUAUCUCAACUGGAUUUUUAAAUCUGUUUUCCAGAGCAAAACAGCAGAAUUUGGAAAAUAACCUAAUAUGCAUAAACCAUGAAUGGCAUCCCCGGAGAGACACAAGCCCAAACCCUGAGCGUCCAGAGCAUUUUAAUUCGGGAUGCAGUGCUUUAAAGCCCUAGGGAUUAUUUUCAGCAGAAUUGACUCUAUGAAUAUGAAUUAUUCUUCAUGUCAGCCUUUUUUUUUUUUUUUCUGAGAAGGAAAUCUGAUACAAGAUUGAAUAGGAGAACAAGUAGCAGAAUUUAGGGCAAUAUAAAAGGGCCCUGGAAGGCAGGUGAACACAUUUUUCUUCCUUGCCCAGAAAAAUGUCAAUAGGCAUUUUACAGCUUCUCCUUUUCUUUCCUUUGCAUUCUGUCCUCACUGAAAAUGCCCAGUUCACAGCCUGAUAUUCUUUGAGCGUUUUUCCAUUCAAGUCCCAGUUAAGUGAUCACUCCUGGGUCUCCAACUGGUUUCGGUCCCGAAGCUGUGUUUGCAGAGAUGGAAGGAUGCUUGUUGAAGUCGGGACGUCCAAGGGCCACAUAAGUGAGGAUCUAAUUGCCGUGCCUUGUCUCAAGGAGUCUUGAGUUCAUGAUGUCUUAUAUUUCUUCAUUACUUCCCAAAGCAAAACUUUGUACAUCUAGACAUAUACGACAAGUUUGUUUUUUAUGAUUGUUUUAGUUUGUCUUGGCAAUUGACGUGGGAAGUUGUUAAUGCAGUAGACAGAUGAAAUAAAGACUUGGAGAUUAGAUGAACUGCUCCAAUCAGAGCCUGGAUGCAAUGCCCUGUUGCCCUCUCUUUCAGAUCUAUCCAAAGUUAACUUGACUCCAUCGACUGGCCCUUAAUUUCUGCAGUUCUCUCAGUUCUGGGAAUAACCUUAUGAUUGUUCUUCAGGUGGAGACCCUAGAAAACCUCCAGAGUUUGCUUUGAUCCUCAUACUCCACCUCCCAAGGAGGAAUAAAUUUGGAAGUGUAUAAUAAAUCAAAGAUAAAUUUGGAAGCACAUAUGAAAAAGCUUUUAUGGGACUUCUGCUUUUGAGUAAGAUGGAGAUAUUGGUGACAGACUAAUCCUGAAAAUCAGAACAACUAGAUGAAACAGAUAAAAUCCAAAAAUUAUCUGUUUUAAAGGUACCAAGGAGCUGUUGAAGCAAUGUAGGUAGAGAGGCUGAAAGACAGCAAAGGGGAGAAUCUGCACCAGCCUUUUAUCCUGGGGCACUGUGGGUUCACUGUGAGUUCUGGGUGAGAACGAGAAGCUUGGCAUCUAAACUCUACCCAAACCCCUUCUCAGCGGGCAGGAUGCAGAGGUUUCAGCAGAGCUCAGGGAAGGUAGCCAGGAUGUGCAACACAAUAGGGCCUUCAACACAGGACCAGCUUCCCCCUCAAGACAUUUGCUGAAUUCUGAAGCUGCAAGGGAAGGACAUAGGAAAGCUAAGCUGAGUACAUCAGAAGAGCUGGGUCGAGUUUUCUGCAGUGUGACGAUGCCUUGGAGACCCAGGUUAGAGUUCAGUUCCCAGGAGAGGCAGUGUUCCUGGGAUGCACCAGCCUCAGUCAAAGCCCUGGAAGUUCAUGUUGCCGGAAGAGGAUCAGCCCAGAGGAGGCUUACCCAAACUGCAAAUUAAAGGCAAAAUAGUGAAAGCUUUCCCUCAAGUGGUGGAAAGAAAUAAGGGUGCCUACUGUUUACCACUUCUAACCUACAUGGUCCUGGAAGUCCAGGCCAGGGCAAUAAUGCAAGCCAACGUAUAAAGGGCAGAAUCAUUGGAAAGGAAGAAAAAACUUACUAGACACAGAUGAACUGUCUCUAUAUGAAGAAAAAUCCAAAAGAAUCUGCAAACAACUUAAAUUUAAUGUCUCUUUACGCAGUCUCCGCAUGUAAGGUCAGUAUAAAAAAAUCACCUCUAUAUCUAUAGACCUGCAACACAGAGAAAAUAAAAUCUUGCAAUUGCAGGAUUUGCAACAGCAUCGAGGAAUAUUAAAUACUUAAAUAGAAAUUUUAAAGAGGUAUAUGAGAUUUGUGUUCUAAAGCCACAAAGCAUCUCUGAGAGGGAACUCAAAGGGAGAUCUAAAUAAGUAGAUAUAGUAAAUAAGUAGAUCUAGGACAUUUGUCAAUCAGAAGACUCACUUGUAAACAUGUCGACUCUUCCUACAUGUAUCCCCAGCCUCAUGCAAUCCCAGGAGAUUACAUGUGUGUGUAUUUGUAAAUUGACUCAAGUGAUUACAAGAUUUAUAUGAAAAUGCAGUGAGCCAAAAAUAGCCAGGAAAUCUUAAGGAAUAAGAGCGGAGAGCAGAGGAAGGCUUCAUGGGCCGGGUAGGGGGGCGGGGAGCCUUGAGCUAAGCCGUUGGGUGCAUGGGUGGUAAGUGGAAUUUUGUUAGGGACUAGAACCAUAACAAGUUUGUUGGGGUAACCCUAACACCUAUCCUAAUGCCUGCCUGAUGCCUAACAAAUAUUCAAUAAAUAUUGGUUAAAUGUACAUAUGAAUGAAUGGACAGAUGCUUGAGAUAAGAGUAUGUCAGGUUAAAAGGACAGUAGAAGCAACAGUAAAGAAACACGAAACUAUCUUACAGUGAGGCAUCAAAUGUGUCCUAAGUGCGUAUGUGAGCUGCAGAAGAAAGGGAGGCUAGAAUAUUCAGACAGGGCAGUGUUGUGCAGAGGUCUGAAGUAGGCUUGUAGCAUUUGGACCUUACUCUUUAGGCAUCUAACAUUUUGGAACAAUGUAAAAUGAGUGAUAGGUUGGGAGAUGAAUUGGGCCAGUGACAGGGGAGCCACAUGACACCCACCCAGUCACUUCCCUGAAGGACACCCUCUUUGCUUUCUAUAUCCAGCACCAGCAAUAAAAUUGGAAUUCUUUGCUAAGGUCAUUGUUCAUAUAUUUAAUAUAGAAAUCUCCCCAAAUGUUAAAAGCUGACAGACACUUAAUUUAAAAGCCUAAGUACUCUCUGUCUGAGCCCUGACUAUGCCAAAAGCAAAGCUUUUUGUGCUAUCAAGAAUUUGAUGGGAUUUCCUUUUUGCAUUUCCUUUUCAAAAACCAUUAGAACAGCCAGCACCAUGCUCCUCUGGAGACCCUUACAUUCUACCUUCAUGAAUUUUCUUGGUUAGGAACAGAGUGCAUGAACUCUUUGGGUCUCUCUGUUAGGAUGGGUUUCAGCUAACUGUACUUUAGUACAGUUAGUACCAGUGCUUUAAUACACACAAGCUUACACUCACAACGAAGUCCAGAGCAAAGCAGUCUGUGAUGAUUAUGGCAGUUUCAUGCUGUCAUCUCCUAUGAGACAGCCCUGCCAGAAGGGCUGCUCACAUCCUGAUGGCUAGAACUGGUUACAUGGCUGUGCUGGUUGCAACAAAAGCUGGAAAAUGAAGUGUAUUGAUACUCCAAAAGAAGCAGAGUUUCGGUAAUACAGAAGAAUAUUGGUGGACAUUGAAUAGGUCACCAGCAGUCAUUGCUACAUGAUCCAGUCUUCCUUUCUAAAACAAGAACAAUCUUGUAGAAAGCGGGAACUUUGAGACUUUCUUAGCUGAGAAAUUUGUUGUUAUUGUUGCUUUACAAUCUCUCCUCCUCUCCUAAGAAGUUGUCCAAGGAAACUGGAGGUUCUUUGUUUCUUAAGCUGGUUGAAGAUAUAGUUUGCAAACCUGAACAGAACAAAAUAACUAUUCACCAGAAGAAGAAGAAAAAAAAAAGGCAGCGAAUAUGUGAUGUUUUCACAGAUCAUGAAAUUGAAGGGUACAAAAAAAGAACUUCUAUUUUUCUGUGACUAAAUGUCGAUUUCAAGUUCUCAUACCUCCUGGAGUUAAAAAAUAAGAUCCAGUCAAUUUCAGUGAAAACCUGUUACUUCUGCUUUUCAGUGAUUUGGGCUUUACACUCACAGAUCUGAGAGUCUCUCUUGCCCCCCUGGUAACACAUUUCAGAGCUGGAGAAAGAGAGGGAGAGGAUGGGGGUUUGGACAUGGCCCAUGUUCAUCUUCCCAGUAUUCUCUGACAGUCAGCAUUCUCCCUGCUGACUUGGGCGGAUAUGCCAUGUCCAGUUGGGUCCUCACCAUUCCUGGUGGCCUCACCUGAGCUGAAACAGCAUCUCUCCUGGGCCCCAGGUGAAGGGUCCAUCAUGCCUUGUGCUCUGGCCUCCUGCUGCCCCAUGUGGAGUGGUCCUUUGCACCUGCCGGCUCAGUCUCUCUCAGCCACCCUGUGUCUCCUUGAGGCAGGGGGAGACUCAGGCGCAGUCAUAACCCUCUGAAGUGCUAGGACUCCAUGCUGCCAUGUAAAAUACACAUUUCUCUAUUUUUUGGGCUCCCAAAAUAGAACUAAGGUUGGGAUGGGGUAGUAUCUGUACUAUGUUUCAAACACACACACAUACACACACACACACACACACACACACACACACACACACACACGGAGGAAGUUUCUCCCUCAAAGACCCAAAACUAGCAAGAGGUACCAGUGAUGGGUCUUUUGAAGGGGAUGUCAUCUGCCCGUCACUUGCAUUGGGGUCAAGCGGCAUUGCAGAAGAAAAUAAGGCAUUUAGGUUUUAGGUCAGGUGUGAGUUGAGGUUUUAUGUUUUUGAGAACACAGGCCAAGGGAGUAGAAGGAGGAAUGGAGGGUGGAAUGUUCCCAUAGUGAAGGAAGCAAGCCUAGAGAGAAGAGAGAGUAGAGAAAUGGAGGGAAGGGAUUCAGGGGUUCUUACCUUCCAGAAAAGUGGGAAAAGGGGUUUGGGUGCAGAGAUAAGAAGUCAGGGCAUGGAAAUAAGGGAUGGGGCACAGAAAUAAGAGGUCAGGGCAUGGAAAUAAGGGAUUGGGGUGCAGAGAUAUGAGGUUGGGGUACUUGCCCAUCCUCUAGAAAAGCAGGACUUGCCACUAAGAGUGAAGGAGAAGGGGUUGAGGAGUACUUGCCCCUCUCCCAGAAAAGCAGAGAAGGG